Molecule: long non-coding RNA, 505 nt
Filed under: Populus trichocarpa (black cottonwood)
Lineage: Eukaryota; Viridiplantae; Streptophyta; Magnoliopsida; Malpighiales; Salicaceae
Description: long non-coding RNA (PTRI_LNC000989)
Source: RNAcentral
AGUUCAAACUUCAAAGUCCUUGUUCCAAGAAACUCUAUGAUCAUACAUUUAGACAACAAACAUAUUUGUUCGCUUUAUAUGCACCGCAUACAUUUGUAAAAUCAAUGAUUUUUAAUUUUUCACGGGAAUAAUUACAAAAUUCAAAAGUAUUCUUAGCUCUUAAAGCUUCAUGCUGCAAACUAACUAAUCCUAUGAUGUAUGAUCCACCAUCGUGGACGACAAUUUCUGUGCUACCCUAUUGUGGAUCCACCGUUAAGGAGUUUAUACAUGUAUGAUAGCAGCAAUCACUAGAUUCUUCCUUUUGUGGCUUUUGAUUCCAUUAAGGAAACUGGUAAUUGUAGUUCAAAGUUCAAACUACUCUUCUUCAGGGAUGCUAUGAAGCACACCAUCAUAUCCACCAUUAGAGGACACAACACUAACACGAUUAACAGGAAGUUGGACAAGUUCAUGUGCGACAUCUUUGAAUUCAAGAAGCCCCCCUUCUUUGCACUUGGCCAUUAAUCGA